AUAUAAGAUUGAAAGAAAAAUGUUUUAAAAAAAAUAUUAACAAAGUUAUGAGCAUCGGGAUAUCACGGUAGGACACACUAUAUAUUAUGUAUUUAUACAUGUUUUAUAUAUCUCAAAUAGUUUUUUUAAACUAAUGCAAAUUUCCAAUUUGGGAGGAGGGCGCAAAUGCAGUGAUUCCCUAGAGGCUAGCUAAUUUGCAAACUGGAAUAAAACAAAUCAAACAAAUCAAGUUAGAGAAAUAUUAAAUUAAAAUAGUUAACUUACAAAAAUGUGUGUUAUAAAGGCUU
Molecule: non-coding RNA, 287 nt
Organism: Cinara cedri
Lineage: Eukaryota; Metazoa; Arthropoda; Insecta; Hemiptera; Aphididae
Source: the annotation of a GenBank genome assembly